RNAcentral lists this long non-coding RNA (426 nucleotides) under Panax ginseng (ginseng). Its description in RNAcentral is "long non-coding RNA (PGIN_LNC010435)". Lineage: Eukaryota; Viridiplantae; Streptophyta; Magnoliopsida; Apiales; Araliaceae. The record is from RNAcentral.
ACAUCGCCAAGCUUCCAAACAACUUGAGGCAGCCAAUCUGAAAGUUUUUCAAAAGAUUAUUGUAAAUAAAGGAGGUAUCUAGUUUUCCUUCCAAAAUUCACAUCUACUAUGUCACAACUAUAGAGUAAUUAAACCACUGUAUGUAAAAAUAGUAAUUUCUUCUUGACAAGUUGAACACAAAGUAAAUUCAGAAUUGUUGCAUGCACAAAUAAACAAAAGAUCUGACUACUUACAAAUCCCUUAUCUCAAUAAAUUCAAAGCUCCAGAUGUUCCUAGCAGUGUUACAAAAGGGGCUCCAGAGUUCUGCACCAUAUAUAUCAUCUCUAAAGGGAAAAUUUCAUCUCUACGGUCUGCCUCUGCUUCAGUCCCAAACCAAGCCCCUCGUAUGCAAUUGCAACCCCAAAGCAAUGCCAUUCAGAAUCAAAC